GAAAGGUAGAUAGAUCCCAAGGAAGUUUUGGGGUAUAGGUGGGUAGGAUAGAGAUCAAAGACUUGUUCUUUCCCUGAACAGUUUCUCUUCCCUAUUCCACCUAUUCCCCAUGAGAUCCUUUGGUUCCUCCCUUUC
RNAcentral lists this microRNA precursor (135 nucleotides) under Fragaria vesca subsp. vesca. Its description in RNAcentral is "Fragaria vesca miR482d stem-loop (fve-MIR482d)". Its record names the gene fve-MIR482d. The record is from miRBase by way of RNAcentral. Lineage: Eukaryota; Viridiplantae; Streptophyta; Magnoliopsida; Rosales; Rosaceae.